This 65-nucleotide transfer RNA is filed under the name Moina macrocopa. Its description in RNAcentral is "tRNA-Tyr". It matches the Rfam family "tRNA". From Rfam's summary of the family: Transfer RNA (tRNA) molecules are approximately 80 nucleotides in length. Their secondary structure includes four short double-helical elements and three loops (D, anti-codon, and T loops). The record is from RNAcentral. Lineage: Eukaryota; Metazoa; Arthropoda; Branchiopoda; Diplostraca; Moinidae.
AAUGGAGUGGCUGAAUUAUAGGCAUUAGAUUGUAAAUCUAACUAUGAGGUUUAACUCCUCCAUUA